GGCUCAGGACGAACGCUGGCGGCGUGCCUAAUACAUGCAAGUCGAACGCUUCUUUCCUCCCGAGUGCUUGCACUCAAUUGGAAAGAGGAGUGGCGGACGGGUGAGUAACACGUGGGUAACCUACCCAUCAGAGGGGGAUAACACUUGGAAACAGGUGCUAAUACCGCAUAACAGUUUAUGCCGCAUGGCAUAAGAGUGAAAGGCGCUUUCGGGUGUCGCUGAUGGAUGGACCCGCGGUGCAUUAGCUAGUUGGUGAGGUAACGGCUCACCAAGGCCACGAUGCAUAGCCGACCUGAGAGGGUGAUCGGCCACACUGGGACUGAGACACGGCCCAGACUCCUACGGGAGGCAGCAGUAGGGAAUCUUCGGCAAUGGACGAAAGUCUGACCGAGCAACGCCGCGUGAGUGAAGAAGGUUUUCGGAUCGUAAAACUCUGUUGUUAGAGAAGAACAAGGACGUUAGUAACUGAACGUCCCCUGACGGUAUCUAACCAGAAAGCCACGGCUAACUACGUGCCAGCAGCCGCGGUAAUACGUAGGUGGCAAGCGUUGUCCGGAUUUAUUGGGCGUAAAGCGAGCGCAGGCGGUUUCUUAAGUCUGAUGUGAAAGCCCCCGGCUCAACCGGGGAGGGUCAUUGGAAACUGGGAGACUUGAGUGCAGAAGAGGAGAGUGGAAUUCCAUGUGUAGCGGUGAAAUGCGUAUAUAUAUGGAGGAACACCAGUGGCGAAGGCGGCUCUCUGGUCUGUAACUGACGCUCCACCUGGGGAGUACGACCGCAGGUUAAAACUCAAAUGAAUUGAC
Molecule: ribosomal RNA, 800 nt
Filed under: uncultured Enterococcus sp.
Lineage: Bacteria; Bacillati; Bacillota; Bacilli; Lactobacillales; Enterococcaceae
Description: bacterial SSU rRNA
Rfam family: Bacterial small subunit ribosomal RNA
Source: RNAcentral